RNAcentral lists this long non-coding RNA (366 nucleotides) under Felis catus (domestic cat). Its description in RNAcentral is "lncRNA (ENSFCAG00000043641.2)". The record is from RNAcentral. Lineage: Eukaryota; Metazoa; Chordata; Mammalia; Carnivora; Felidae.
UCUGUAAUACUUCCCCAUGUUCUCAAAUAAGCACCUUUGAAAUACAGUGGCACCAUCUCAUUUAUGAAGACAUUCAACUUUACAAGCUGUUGAGAGCCAUGCCAUCCAAUCGCCUGGAAGACCUCUUCUUGGACCACAAAUCACCUAACGUAGUAUCCCUCUUUGUUCUAAUAAAGAAUGGAAAAAUUAAAGCAAGCUACCGUGGUUUAUUACUCAUGUUUUCUCUGUUAAGCAUGGGCUGUGGGAAUCACUGCAUCCACAUUAGGAGGCCUUGGCAUUCUAGAAACACACAAGAUAAAAGAAAAGUGCUAUACCAUUUUUCUUCUCAAACCUUCCAUUGUAAUAAAAACGGAUUGUAAAUCAAAG